RNAcentral lists this ribosomal RNA (433 nucleotides) under uncultured bacterium. Its description in RNAcentral is "partial 16S ribosomal RNA". It matches the Rfam family "Bacterial small subunit ribosomal RNA", at positions 29 to 507 of the family's 1533-position model. The record is from RNAcentral.
AGCGAACGCUGGCGGCAGGCUUAACACAUGCAAGUCGAGCGGGCCCUUCGGGGUCAGCGGCGGACGGGUGGGUAACGCGUGGGAACGUGCCUUCUGGUCUGGAAUGACCCUGGGAAACUAGGGCUAAUACCGGAUACGCCCUUUUGGGGAAAGGUUUACUGCCGGAAGAUCGGCCCGCGUCUGAUUAGCUAGUUGGUGGGGUAACGGCCUACCAAGGCGACGAUCAGUAGCUGGUCUGAGAGGAUGAUCAGCCACACUGGGACUGAGACACGGCCCAGACUCCUACGGGAGGCAGCAGUGGGGAAUAUUGGACAAUGGGCGCAAGCCUGAUCCAGCCAUGCCGCGUGAGUGAUGAAGGCCUUAGGGUUGUAAAGCUCUUUUAUCCGGGACGAUAAUGACGGUACCGGAGGAAUAAGCCCCGGCUAACUUCGUG